GCCGUCUUAGCUCAAAUGGAAGAGCACAUGGUUCUCAACCAUGUAGUUGUGGGUUCGACUCCUACAGAUGGUG
Non-coding RNA from Papaver somniferum (opium poppy), 73 nucleotides. Lineage: Eukaryota; Viridiplantae; Streptophyta; Magnoliopsida; Ranunculales; Papaveraceae. The record is from the annotation of a RefSeq genome assembly.